UGGGGAAUAUUGCACAAUGGGGGAAACCCUGAUGCAGCGACGCUGCGUGAGCGAAGAAGUAUUUCGGUAUGUAAAGCUCUAUCAGCAAGGAAGAUAAUGACGGUACUUGACUAAGAAGCUCCGGCUAAAUACGUGCCAGCAGCCGCGGUAAUACGUAUGGAGCAAGCGUUAUCCGGAUUUACUGGGUGUAAAGGGAGCGUAGACGGCAUGGCAAGUCUGAUGUGAAAGCCCGGGGCUCAACCCCGGAACUGCAUUGGAAACUGUCGUGCUGGAGUGCAGGAGAGGUAAGCGGAAUUCCUAGUG
Molecule: ribosomal RNA, 303 nt
Filed under: uncultured bacterium
Lineage: Bacteria
Description: bacterial SSU rRNA
Rfam family: Bacterial small subunit ribosomal RNA
Source: RNAcentral